This 117-nucleotide transfer RNA is filed under the name Sporisorium scitamineum. RNAcentral describes it as "transfer RNA-Trp(CCA)". It matches the Rfam family "tRNA". From Rfam's summary of the family: Transfer RNA (tRNA) molecules are approximately 80 nucleotides in length. Their secondary structure includes four short double-helical elements and three loops (D, anti-codon, and T loops). The record is from RNAcentral. Lineage: Eukaryota; Fungi; Basidiomycota; Ustilaginomycetes; Ustilaginales; Ustilaginaceae.
GGCCCUAUAGCUCAGCGGUAGAGCGUCGGCUUCCAGUCACUCUAAAGUGGAAUGAACUGGCAUCUUUGGUGCCAGAAUUAAUUCCGAAGGUCAUCCGUUCAAAUCGGGUUGGGGUCA